This 65-nucleotide transfer RNA is filed under the name human gut metagenome. It matches the Rfam family "tRNA", at positions 5 to 66 of the family's 71-position model. Rfam says of the family: Transfer RNA (tRNA) molecules are approximately 80 nucleotides in length. Their secondary structure includes four short double-helical elements and three loops (D, anti-codon, and T loops). The record is from RNAcentral. RNAcentral also lists the same sequence under 1 other name.
CUUUAGCUCAAUUGGAUAGAGCAUCUGACUACGGAUCAGAAGGUUGGAGGUUCAAAUCCUCCAAG